Molecule: ribosomal RNA, 446 nt
Filed under: uncultured bacterium
Lineage: Bacteria
Description: partial 16S ribosomal RNA
Rfam family: Bacterial small subunit ribosomal RNA
Source: RNAcentral
CCUACGGGCGGCAGCAGUCGAGAAUCAUUCACAAUGGGGGAAACCCUGAUGGUGCGACGCCGCGUGGGGGAAUGAAGGUCUUCGGAUUGUAAACCCCUGUCAUGUGGGAGCAAAUUAAAAAGAUAGUACCACAAGAGGAAGAGACGGCUAACUCUGUGCCAGCAGCCGCGGUAAUACAGAGGUCUCAAGCGUUGUUCGGAAUCACUGGGCGUAACGCGUGCGUAGGCUGUUUCGUAAGUCGUGUGUGAAAGGCGCGGGCUCAACCCGCGGACGGCACAUGAUACUGCGAGACUAGAGUAAUGGAGGGGGAACCGGAAUUCUCGGUGUAGCAGUGAAAUGCGUAGAUAGCGAGAGGAACACUCGUGGCGAAGGCGGGUUCCUGGACAUUAACUGACGCUGAGGCACGAAGGCCAGGGGAGCGAAAGGGAUUAGAUACCCCUGUAGUC